AGCUUUCAAAUGAAAUUCAAAGCUUGGAUUUUGGAGGGAAAGGUAAGAUUCAAAUCCAAGGCAAUUCAAGUUCAUUCAAAAUUCACAAAAUUGGAGGGAAAGACAUUUUGUAUUGCUUAGAAAAUAAGUUACAACCAUACAAGGGUAAUUCAUGUUCAAAACACCAAAGUACAUGACAAAAAUCCAAAAUUUCAAACAUGAUACAAAGUACACAUUUUGACAUAGGGUUGACUUUGGUCAACUAUUGACUUUUGGGUCAACAAUAGACCAAAGUAAACUUUUUAAUCCCAAAACCCUAAUUCUAUUGUCUUCAUGCAUAAGAUACUCAAAAGCAUUCAAGUCUUUAUGCCUUGAUCAAACCCUCAUAAACCAUAACCAAACCUUGCCACCUCCAUGCCAGGCCAAUGUCAACUCCAUCGUAGGUACGUCAUCCCUGCAUCAAACAAACCAAACACACACACAAUCAGAACUCAUACCAUACAUUAACAUAUGACCUAUACCCAAUCCAACCAACCAAUAAACAUGACAAUCAUUUCCUACAAAAAUAUAAGUCAAUCCACAUAACUCAAUCAUCCAUCAUACACCAACCUAUCAACAAUCUAAAAGGUCCUAUUAUCCAUGUUAAUUCAUCUCAAUUUGCUAACAGUUACUAACAAAAAAAAUUCCAUAACAACCUAUAUUUUUAUUAUUAGCUACUAGCAACAACUCUAACACACACAUUCCAUCAAGUGUUCACAUAGUAGAGUUAAGUUAGACUAGUACCACAAAUUGCAUUGACAUGCACAUGCAAUUCGAGCACCUAACUAAGCCUGUUUUUGGUUUGGUAGCGCUGUAACUUAAGUCAUAAACAAAAAGUCAGAGUUCUACUUGAUUCCAUAAACUUUCAACACAUUUUAGUUGGCAUAACCAUGUGAUUCAUCAUGUUUUCCUAAUUCACCAUCGAUUAACCCUAACUAUUCAAAUACCAUAGCAUAGUAACACACCAACUUCAACUAAUAUUUCCAAAUUAACCAAGAGCCAUAACAAUUCAUAACACAUUCAAUAAAACACCAAUGCAUACUAACAUAGUUGGAAAUUAACCAUUGCUUACAACAAUUAUUAACAUCCCUUAACACCAUCACUAACUACCUCGAGUUUCUAUUUCAUUAGCUAACUGUUUUUCCUAACCUAUACUAACGGUUCUAACUAACUUUCACUAACAUCUAAAUUUAUAACAAUCCCAUUUCUUAAUUCUAACUGUCAUGACUACUCCACUAUAACACAAUUAAAUCUAACAAAGCUACAUUACUAACUCAUUUAUCACUAACAACUAACCAUAACUGAAUUUCAAUUACAAAAUUAGCCUAACUGUUUUAACAAAGAGCUAACAAAACCACCAAUAGCCAUGCUAACAUUUUAACUGGAAGCUAUAUUUUUUUUUCAAUUCAUCCAAUAUUACAAUAACAGAAGUUAAUAGAACUUCACUAACUAAAUCCAAAACUAACUUAAACCAACUAUAACUAACAAUUAACAUAAUUUUUUAACAAUGUGAAUCAUCCUAACAAACUUUUUCUCUAACAUAACUGAAAUGAAAUUAUGCCCAAACUCUAUUAACAUACCUUAAUGACUUCCCGAUUCAGUUACUCAAUUCAAACUCUAUAUAUUCGACUCUCCACUCCGAUUCAUCAGCAACAAUCAUUCAUUCACUCUGCACUCACAAACAAAAUCUCAAUCCUCUCCAUUUUCACUUUGUGAGCAUCUUCAACCUCUCUGCAUAACCCUCUCUAUUUCUUCACUCUCUCAAGCGCAACAACCAAAAAACCACUGUUUCAACAUCUACGGACUAAAGAAGAGAAGAAAAGGAAAGAAGAAUUUGAGCAAAUAUGAGUCGAAAUCGAGAGUACUUGUAGCAUUGAGCUUCUUCCGUUCUUCUGUUUCAUUCUUCUUCAACUCCUACGACCCCUGGGCAAUUCUCCUCCUGGUCGAUGAGUUCUUUGAUUUCUUCAUUCAUUCUCGUUGAUACCAUUACCUUCAUUGUAGAAUAAGGCUCUAUGGAUCAAAGCCCUAACGUUUUAGGCUUUGAUCCCUCCUCUAGAGCAUUUAAUUUUGAUUUUGAUUUUUAGGGUUCUUGAAUAUUUUUGUUCAAUUUGAGAAUUAUGGUAGGAAUAUGAGGAAAUUGAUGAUAGAUUGUGAAAGAGCAUGGAUGGACGAGCAUUUUGACAUUGAUUUGGUGGUGUUUGGACCUCCACCGCUGCCGGAGGCGAUUUCCGGUGCGGUGGAAUUUUUGGCCAUAGCUUGGAGGGAAAUAACGCGUUUGGACUGAGUGAUUUGAACUUGUUUCUGAAAUAUCUUCCCUACUCUCUUGGCUCUUAUAUGUUGGCCUAAAGCCCUUUGCCCAAACCAACUUUACCACACACACCCUUAUUCUAUUGUGCAAUACCCCCGUGUUCUGAAGCUAUAAUGUUGGUCCUUCUGAUGUUGGGCCCUGCGCCCUCUUCCAGGCCCCUCUUUUGCUUUAUUUUAUUUGUUUAUCUAUUUUUUUUACAUUUUAAUACUCUAGUUUUUGUUUACAUUUUUAGUCAAUAAGCAUUUUAACACAUUUUAAUGCCAUUUUUAUUUCGACAUGAGAAUACUUAGAAAACUCCAUGAUAUUACUUAGAUAAUAAUUAGAUUUUAAUUAGGUAAAAAUCUCAUUUGAAUAUUAAAUAAAAAUGAUAACACACUUAGGUUUUCAUUAUAAUUUAGGUAAUCAUUAGCUUUAAAACAAAUUUUCAAUUUAAAUCUUUUUAUGAAAUAAUACACAUGUUCUUAUUAAUUUCAGAUUAGAUUUUAGAAUUAAUAUGCUUGUUAAUAUUGUCAUGAAUUGAAUCUUGUAGUAAAGAUCCAUGCUUGAAAUGUCUUUAACCUGAUCUUACUCAUGAUUGAUGGACUGAUCAAAAUCACUUUUGAUCAACAAAUCACUUCAUUUUAUUUGAUUACCUCAUCCAAUC
This 2969-nucleotide long non-coding RNA is filed under the name Lathyrus oleraceus (garden pea). Its description in RNAcentral is "Pisum sativum (pea) long non-coding RNA (PSAT_LNC029893)". Lineage: Eukaryota; Viridiplantae; Streptophyta; Magnoliopsida; Fabales; Fabaceae. The record is from RNAcentral.